Molecule: ribosomal RNA, 466 nt
Filed under: Adelophryne sp. 5 AF-2012
Lineage: Eukaryota; Metazoa; Chordata; Amphibia; Anura; Eleutherodactylidae
Description: partial 12S ribosomal RNA
Source: RNAcentral
GACCUAGUCCCAACCUUUAAGUCAAUUAUCACUCGACUUAUACAUGCAAGUCUCUGCACCCCUGUGAACAUGCCCUCAACCCCCUCCUGGAACUAAGGAGCAGAUAUCAGGCUCAACUAUUGCCUAAGACAUCUAGCCACGCCACACCCACAAGGGCCCUUGCAGCAGUGAUUAAUCUUGAACAUGAGCGACAGCUCGAUUCAGUUAGAGUGAAAAUGGGCUGGCAAAGUUAGUGCCAGUCGCCUCGGAUACACUACAUCAGCUCAAAUUGACUUACCUCGGCGUAAAGCGUGAUCAAAUAAACUAGCAUACUAGAGUUAAACUCGACAACUGUCUCAUCAGUAAAUCCAAUAACGAAAGUCACUCUAACCCACCCCUUUGACUUCACGACAACUAGGACCCAAACUGGGAUUAGGUACCCCACUAUGCCUAGUCGUAAACUUUUAAUUACACCACAACCGCCAGG